UUCCAUAUAGUACCCAAGCAUUGUUAUAUAGAUCAGGAGAAGCAUUACUCGCAACUAAGAAGUGAAAUUCAAUGAAGCAAUCGAAUUCUUUCACCACAAAACAACCCAAAAUCCUUCAAAACCCUAAAAUUGGAGGCAAUCUCAUUGAGUCAAUUACCUUAGGUUCAAAUUGCAUUCCCCAAACCUCAGAAGGAGGAGCUUCCAAAACAGCAAUCGUAGCAUUAGUAUCAACAUCAAACACACGGACAAAGCUAUCAAUCGAAGAAGAUGCUGCAAUAAUCCCAGAAGGAUGCGCAGCCAAAGCUGCUACUCCCAAAGAGUGUCCAGUAUUAGUCCGCACAAGAUCCAGCUCGUCCGGUCGCCAUAACUUCACCGUCUCGUCAAGAGAUCCAGUCAGAAGCAACGCCGGUCGAUCUUCCGUCGCCGGAACCCACGUCGCUGCCCAAACGGAAUCUUCGUGAGCGUUCUCGAUCGAUUUCAGACCUGCGAGUUUCAUUCUCUUUUUAGGUUUUUACUGUGUUUCCUCAAGUGAGCAAGAAGAAGCAAAAGACCCAAAUUUGAAACAGAGACUUUGAUUCUCGUUUUUUAGUUAUAAAAUAGAAACUCGCGUCGUUUU
Long non-coding RNA from Arabidopsis thaliana (thale cress), 616 nucleotides. RefSeq annotates it as other RNA. The transcript has a single exon. NCBI's taxonomy places the organism in Eukaryota, Viridiplantae, Streptophyta, Magnoliopsida, Brassicales, Brassicaceae. The record is from RefSeq.